Molecule: ribosomal RNA, 400 nt
Filed under: uncultured bacterium
Lineage: Bacteria
Description: bacterial SSU rRNA
Rfam family: Bacterial small subunit ribosomal RNA
Source: RNAcentral
UGGGGAAUUUUGGACAAUGGGCGCAAGCCUGAUCCAGCCAUUCCGCGUGCAGGAUGAAGGCCCUCGGGUUGUAAACUGCUUUUGUACAGAACGAAAAGCUCUGGGUUAAUACCCUGGGGUCAUGACGGUACUGUAAGAAUAAGCACCGGCUAACUACGUGCCAGCAGCCGCGGUAAUACGUAGGGUGCAAGCGUUAAUCGGAAUUACUGGGCGUAAAGCGUGCGCAGGCGGUUAUGUAAGACAGAGGUGAAAUCCCCGGGCUCAACCUGGGAACUGCCUUUGUGACUGCAUAGCUAGAGUACGGCAGAGGGGGAUGGAAUUCCGCGUGUAGCAGUGAAAUGCGUAGAUAUGCGGAGGAACACCGAUGGCGAAGGCAAUCCCCUGGGCCUGUACUGACGCU